Molecule: unclassified non-coding RNA, 275 nt
Organism: Vombatus ursinus (common wombat)
Lineage: Eukaryota; Metazoa; Chordata; Mammalia; Diprotodontia; Vombatidae
Rfam family: Metazoan signal recognition particle RNA
About the family: The signal recognition particle (SRP) is a universally conserved ribonucleoprotein.
Source: Ensembl
GCUAGGUAUGGUGUUGCACACCUGUAGUGCCUGCUCCUGGGGAGGCUGAAGUUGGAGGAUCUCUUGAGUUCCAGAGGUCUGAGCUGCAGUGAGCUGAGAUCUGCACUAGGGCCAACAAUGUGGAGAAGCCCUGGCAGGGGAAUGGUCAAAAGGCUUCCUAAGCAGGGGCAAAUUGGCCCAGGUCAGAAAUGGAACAGGUCAAGACUCCUGGGCUGAUCAGUAGUGAGUGGCCACUACACUUCCAGCCUGGGCAAGAAAAAGAGACUCAGCUUAAA